RNAcentral lists this long non-coding RNA (359 nucleotides) under Brassica rapa (field mustard). RNAcentral's name for it is "long non-coding RNA (BRAP_LNC005501)". The record is from RNAcentral. Lineage: Eukaryota; Viridiplantae; Streptophyta; Magnoliopsida; Brassicales; Brassicaceae.
UCCGGUCGAAGGACAACAAGAGGAUGAGGAAGAUGAAGAAGGCUCCUUGCUCUGAUAGGACACACCGUGAAUAGAAGAUAACGACGACGGAUCAUGAUGAUCCACAGCUAAAAGAGAUGUAAUUGUCGUCCCAAACAAUUUUAUCUCCGUAUCUUUAGAUUUCGACAUACUAAUUUUCCAACUUAACAAUUAAACCAAUUCCUCUAAAAAUUAUUGUUUACUCGUUUUUUUAUUAGAUCAGAGAAAAAGGAGAGAAUACAAGGGGCUGAGCUUGGUUGGUAUGAAUGACGAUAGUGCAUAGAAGAGAGAGAGAGAGAGGGGGAGAGUCAGAGAGAGACUUGUUAAGUUUUAAGAGCCAC